GUACUGAUGAAGAGUCUCAAACGAUGACGAAACAGCUGUCCAGUAC
Trichobilharzia regenti is the source of this 46-nucleotide non-coding RNA. NCBI's taxonomy places the organism in Eukaryota, Metazoa, Platyhelminthes, Trematoda, Strigeidida, Schistosomatidae. The record is from Rfam.